UACGGGGGGGGUAAGCGUUGUUCGGAAUUACUGGGCGUAAAGGGCUCGUAGGCGGCCAACUAAGUCGGACGUGAAAUCCCUCAGCUUAACUGGGGAACUGCGUCCGAUACUGGAUGGCUUGGAUUUGGGAGAGGGAUGCGGAAUUCCAGGUGUAGCGGUGAAAUGCGUAGAUAUCUGGAGGAACACCGGUGGCGAAGGCGGCGUUCUGGACUGCAACUGACACUGAGGAACGAAAGCCAGGGGAGCAAACGGG
This 253-nucleotide ribosomal RNA is filed under the name uncultured bacterium. Its description in RNAcentral is "partial 16S ribosomal RNA". It matches the Rfam family "Bacterial small subunit ribosomal RNA", at positions 524 to 776 of the family's 1533-position model. The record is from RNAcentral.